UAGUCCACGCCGUAAACGAUGGUCACUAGUUGUUGGGAUUUAUCUCAGUGACUAAGCGAAAGUGAUAAGUGACCCACCUGGGGAGUACGUUCGCAAGAAUGAAACUCAAAGGAAUUGACGGGGGCCCGCACAAGCGGUGGAGCAUGUGGUUUAAUUCGAUGAUACGCGAGGAACCUUACCAGGGCUUAAAUGUAAGUUGCAUUAGUUAGAGAUAGCUAUUUCUUCGGACUACUUACAAGGUGCUGCAUGGUUGUCGUCAGCUCGUGCCGUGAGGUGUCAGGUUAAGUCCUAUAACGAGCGCAACCCCUAUCGUUAGUUGCUAACAGGUUAAGCUGAGGACUCUAGCGAGACUGCCGGUGCAAACCGAGAGGAAGGUGGGGAUGACGUCAAAUCAUCACGGCCCUUACGUCCUGGGCUACACACGUGCUACAAUGGUCGGUACAGCGAGCAGCGAAGUCGCGAGGCGGAGCUAAUCUCUAAAAACCGGUCUCAGUUCGGAUUGGAGU
RNAcentral lists this ribosomal RNA (506 nucleotides) under uncultured bacterium. RNAcentral describes it as "bacterial SSU rRNA". It matches the Rfam family "Bacterial small subunit ribosomal RNA", at positions 791 to 1304 of the family's 1533-position model. The record is from RNAcentral.